RNAcentral lists this long non-coding RNA (1114 nucleotides) under Homo sapiens (human). RNAcentral describes it as "non-protein coding lnc-TBC1D4-3:3". Lineage: Eukaryota; Metazoa; Chordata; Mammalia; Primates; Hominidae. The record is from RNAcentral.
GGAAGCCCUUCCCACCUGGCUGUGUCACUGGUCUGGGAACACAUUUUGAGAAUCACUGCUCUGGAGGCAGAGAAGUCCGGAGUUGAUGGGCCACUUCUGACUUUUGGAUGGGACAAACAUUCAAACCGUAGCAAUGUGUAAGAAUCCUCUGGAAACACUAUGGAGUGAUGGAGAAAGCACCAUCUGGGGAGUCAGAUGACCUGCUCUCUAUCCCAGCUCAUCAGGGAGUCUCUGAGACAAACACUUACCAGAGCCACUCUUGAUGAUAGAAUUGGUGAUGUGACAGCCACCAAAGGAAUGUGACACAAAGUAGAAAUGAGACCUGAGAUGUGGCCUGGACCUUUACCAUGGAAAUGCCCAUAAAUUGCGUCCCUAUUCCUUAAGAUUUUAUUUAAAGUUAUUUUCAGAAUGUUGUGAAGUUUCCAAUCAUACCAAAAUCUUCAAAAAAAAAAAAAAAAAAAAAAACCCACAGAAUUUACAUUUUAAAAGCACCAUUGUUGUCAUGAUAAUGGUGGCAAGUAAUUUUCAAAUUUGGGUUAUUUUAGAAACAGAAUAAAAGAAGACAACUAUAAUAUAAUCCCAAUAAACAAAAGCAAAUAAAAAGGCUAAAUCAUGGGACUAUCAGUAUAUAGAUUCUACUUAUUACUGUGGUAUUUGUUCCUUAUCUUUAUGAAGUAGUUCAUAUUUUUUAUUAUGCAAGUUUUUGAACAAAUACAAAAGUUCAGAAAACAGUAUAAUGAACAGCAUAUACCUAUCACUCAGGUAAUCCGGAUUUUUCACACUUGCAUCAUCUAUCUUUUGUUUGGGACUGAAAUAUUUUAAAGCACAUCUAAGACCUUAUCCUGACUUAUCUUUUCAUUUUAGUGAUCUCCUUGCAAGUAAUUGUAGCAGAUAAUAUUAUCAUCAUUUGAUAGGAGAAGCUGAGUCCCAUACUUUUAACUUGCCUAAGGUCACCCGAGGAGUUAGUAGCAGAGCUAUGAUCGCCUCUUUCUCAACUCCAUUAGACUUGCUGGCAUAAUUUCACAGUUCCCAGCGCCCCUUGUCCUUGAGAACUGUUCCCUGCGUAAGACUUAGUUUUAGCAGGUCUGUCCUUUUACUGUGUGACAACCCUAAC